RNAcentral lists this ribosomal RNA (496 nucleotides) under uncultured bacterium. RNAcentral describes it as "partial 16S ribosomal RNA". It matches the Rfam family "Bacterial small subunit ribosomal RNA", at positions 28 to 506 of the family's 1533-position model. The record is from RNAcentral.
GAUGAACGCUGGCGGCGUGCCUAAUACAUGCAAGUCGAGCGAACAGACGAGGAGCUUGCUCCUCUGACGUUAGCGGCGGACGGGUGAGUAACACGUGGAUAACCUACCUAUAAGACUGGGAUAACUUCGGGAAACCGGAGCUAAUACCGGAUAAUAUAUUGAACCGCAUGGUUCAAUAGUGAAAGACGGUUUUGCUGUCACUUAUAGAUGGAUCCGCGCCGCAUUAGCUAGUUGGUAAGGUAACGGCUUACCAAGGCAACGAUGCGUAGCCGACCUGAGAGGGUGAUCGGCCACACUGGAACUGAGACACGGUCCAGACUCCUACGGGAGGCAGCAGUAGGGAAUCUUCCGCAAUGGGCGAAAGCUUGACGGAGCAACGCCGCGUGAGUGAUGAAGGUCUUCGGAUCGUAAAACUCUGUUAUUAGGGAAGAACAAAUGUGUAAGUAACGAUGCACGUCUGGACGGUACCUAAUCAGAAAGCCACGGCGAACUACGU